Molecule: ribosomal RNA, 203 nt
Filed under: Stenotrophomonas maltophilia
Lineage: Bacteria; Pseudomonadati; Pseudomonadota; Gammaproteobacteria; Lysobacterales; Lysobacteraceae
Description: partial 23S ribosomal RNA
Rfam family: Bacterial large subunit ribosomal RNA
Source: RNAcentral
CACAGCUAAGGUCCCAAAUUCACUGCUAAGUGGAAAACCAUGUGGAAAGGCACAGACAGCCAGGAGGUUGGCUUAGAAGCAGCCACCCUUUAAAGAAAGCGUAAUAGCUCACUGGUCGAGUCGGUCUGCGGGGAAGAUUUAACGGGGCUAAGCAGUGAACCGAAGCUUGGGGUGCAUACUUUGUAUGCGCGGUAGAGGAGCGU